GAUCCUGGCUCAGGAUGAAAGCUAGCUACAGGCUUAACACAUGCAAGUCGAGGGGAAACGACAUCGAAAGCUUGCUUCCGAUGGGCGUCGACCGGCGCACGGGUGAGUAACGCGUAUCCAACCUGCCCACCACUUGGGGAUAACCUUGCGAAAGUAAGACUAAUACCCAAUGAUAUCUCUAGAAGACAUCUGAAAGAGAUUAAAGAUUUAUCGGUGAUGGAUGGGGAUGCGUCUGAUUAG
Molecule: ribosomal RNA, 240 nt
Filed under: uncultured bacterium
Lineage: Bacteria
Description: partial 16S ribosomal RNA
Rfam family: Bacterial small subunit ribosomal RNA
Source: RNAcentral